Molecule: ribosomal RNA, 468 nt
Filed under: uncultured bacterium
Lineage: Bacteria
Description: partial 16S ribosomal RNA
Rfam family: Bacterial small subunit ribosomal RNA
Source: RNAcentral
GGCGAACGCUGGCGGCGUGCUUAACACAUGCAAGUCGAACGGAAAGGCCCUGCUUUUGUGGGGUGCUCGAGUGGCGAACGGGUGAGUAACACGUGAGUAACCUGCCCUUGACUUUGGGAUAACUUCAGGAAACUGGGGCUAAUACCGGAUAGGAGCUCCUGCUGCAUGGUGGGGGUUGGAAAGUUUCGGCGGUUGGGGAUGGACUCGCGGCUUAUCAGCUUGUUGGUGGGGUAGUGGCUUACCAAGGCUUUGACGGGUAGCCGGCCUGAGAGGGUGACCGGCCACAUUGGGACUGAGAUACGGCCCAGACUCCUACGGGAGGCAGCAGUGGGGAAUAUUGCACAAUGGGCGGAAGCCUGAUGCAGCAACGCCGCGUGCGGGAUGACGGCCUUCGGGUUGUAAACCGCUGUCGCCUGUGACGAAGCGUGAGUGACGGUAAUGGGUAAAGAAGCACCGGCUAACUACGUG